Molecule: ribosomal RNA, 286 nt
Filed under: uncultured diatom
Lineage: Eukaryota; Bacillariophyta
Description: partial 18S ribosomal RNA
Rfam family: Eukaryotic small subunit ribosomal RNA
Source: RNAcentral
CGUAUAUUAAAGUUGUUGCAGUUAAAAAGCUCGUAGUUAGAUUUGUGGCGUACGGUGUGUUCCGGGCACUUGUUGUCUGAGUAACCUGCUGUUGCCAUCCUUGGGUGGAACCUGUGUGGCAUUAGGUUGUCGUGCAGGGGAUGCCCAUCUUUUACUGUGAAAAAAUUAGAGUGUUCAAAGCAGGCUUAUGCCGUUGAAUAUAUUAGCAUGGAAUAAUGAGAUAGGACUUUUUUACUAUUUUGUUGGUUUGCGUAAAGAGGUAAUGAUUAAUAGGGACAGUUGGGGG